This 868-nucleotide ribosomal RNA is filed under the name Kocuria rosea subsp. polaris. RNAcentral describes it as "bacterial SSU rRNA". It matches the Rfam family "Bacterial small subunit ribosomal RNA", at positions 11 to 887 of the family's 1533-position model. Lineage: Bacteria; Bacillati; Actinomycetota; Actinomycetes; Micrococcales; Micrococcaceae. The record is from RNAcentral.
GUUUGAUUCCUGGCUCAGGACGAACGCUGGCGGCGUGCUUAACACAUGCAAGUCGAACGAUGAUGCCCAGCUUGCUGGGCGGAUUAGUGGCGAACGGGUGAGUAAUACGUGAGUAACCUGCCCUUGACUCUGGGAUAAGCCUGGGAAACUGGGUCUAAUACUGGAUACUACCGUCCACCGCAUGGUGGGUGGUGGAAAGGGUUUUACUGGUUUUGGAUGGGCUCACGGCCUAUCAGCUUGUUGGUGGGGUAAUGGCUCACCAAGGCGACGACGGGUAGCCGGCCUGAGAGGGUGACCGGCCACACUGGGACUGAGACACGGCCCAGACUCCUACGGGAGGCAGCAGUGGGGAAUAUUGCACAAUGGGCGGAAGCCUGAUGCAGCGACGCCGCGUGAGGGAUGACGGCCUUCGGGUUGUAAACCUCUUUCAGUAGGGAAGAAGCGAGAGUGACGGUACCUGCAGAAGAAGCGCCGGCUAACUACGUGCCAGCAGCCGCGGUAAUACGUAGGGCGCAAGCGUUGUCCGGAAUUAUUGGGCGUAAAGAGCUCGUAGGCGGUUUGUCGCGUCUGCUGUGAAAGCCCGGGGCUCAACCCCGGGUCUGCAGUGGGUACGGGCAGACUAGAGUGCAGUAGGGGAGACUGGAAUUCCUGGUGUAGCGGUGAAAUGCGCAGAUAUCAGGAGGAACACCGAUGGCGAAGGCAGGUCUCUGGGCUGUUACUGACGCUGAGGAGCGAAAGCAUGGGGAGCGAACAGGAUUAGAUACCCUGGUAGUCCAUGCCGUAAACGUUGGGCACUAGGUGUGGGGGACAUUCCACGUUUUCCGCGCCGUAGCUAACGCAUUAAGUGCCCCGCCUGGAGACGCCCCCC